RNAcentral lists this ribosomal RNA (650 nucleotides) under uncultured beta proteobacterium. RNAcentral's name for it is "bacterial SSU rRNA". It matches the Rfam family "Bacterial small subunit ribosomal RNA", at positions 52 to 692 of the family's 1533-position model. Lineage: Bacteria; Pseudomonadati; Pseudomonadota; Betaproteobacteria. The record is from RNAcentral.
UCCAUGCAAGUCGAACGGCAGCACGGAGAGCUUGCUCUCUGGUGGCGAGUGGCGAACGGGUGAGUAAUAUAUCGGAACGUGUCCAAUAAUGGGGGAUAACGAGUCGAAAGAUUCGCUAAUACCGCAUACGCCCUACGGGGGAAAGCAGGGGAUCGUAAGACCUUGCGUUAAUGGAGCGGCCGAUAUCUGAUUAGCUUGUUGGUGAGGUAAAGGCUCACCAAGGCGACGAUCAGUAGCUGGUUUGAGAGAACGACCAGCCACACUGGAACUGAGACACGGUCCAGACUCCUACGGGAGGCAGCAGUGGGGAAUUUUGGACAAUGGGGGCAACCCUGAUCCAGCCAUUCCGCGUGAGUGAAGAAGGCCUUCGGGUUGUAAAGCUCUUUCGCAAGGGAAGAAAACUUAUGAUCGAAUAAAUCAUGAGGUUGACGGUACCUUGAUAAGAAGCACCGGCUAACUACGUGCCAGCAGCCGCGGUAAUACGUAGGGUGCGAGCGUUAAUCGGAAUUACUGGGCGUAAAGCGUGCGCAGGCGGUUUUGUAAGUCGGAUGUGAAAUCCCCGGGCUCAACCUGGGAACUGCGUUCGAAACUGCAAGGCUAGAGUGUGUCAGAGGGGGGUAGAAUUCCACGUGUUAGCAGCGAAAUGCGUA